Molecule: ribosomal RNA, 1245 nt
Filed under: uncultured prokaryote
Description: partial 16S ribosomal RNA
Rfam family: Bacterial small subunit ribosomal RNA
Source: RNAcentral
CGGUAAAGAUUUAUCGCUCUAUGAAUGGCCUGCGUUCUAUCAGCUUGAUGGUAAGGUAACGGCUUACCAUGGCUACGACGGAUAGGGGAGGUGAGAGCCUGACCCCCACCGAUGGAACUGCGACACGGUCCAUACUCCUACGGGAGGCCGCAGUCGAGAAUCUUCCGCAAUGGACGAAAGUCUGACGGAGCGACGCCGCGUGGUGGAUGAAGUCCUUAGGGACGUAAACACCUUUUAUGGAGGAGGAAUUUUAUUGACGUUACUCCAUGAAUAAGGGGCUCCCAAUUCUGUGCCAGCAGGAGCGGUAAUACAGAAGCCCCGAGCAUUACCCGGAUUCACUGGGCGUAAAGGGUGCGUAGGCGGGUAUAUUAGUCGGGUGUUAAAUCCUGGGGCUCAACCCCAGAAUCGCAUUCGAAACGGUAUAGCUAGAGGAAGUUAGAGGUAAGCAGAACUCUCGGUGUAGGGGUGAAAUCCGUUGAUAUCGAGGGGAAUACCAAAUGCGAAGGCAGCUUACUGGGACUUUCUUGACGCUGAGGCACGAAAGCGUGGGUAGCGAACGGGAUUAGAUACCCCGGUAGUCCACGCCCUAAACGCUGUCUGUUGGCUUUGGGGGGAAUCGACCCCCUCCGAGGCGAAGCUAACGCGUUAAACAGACCGCCUGGGUAGUACGAGCGCAAGCUUAAAACUCAAAGGAAUAGACGGGGGCUCGCACAAGCGGUGGAUCAUGAGGCUUAAUUCGUCGAUAAGCGAAAAACCUUACCAAGACUAGAAAUUAUACUGCACGCUCCGGGAAACCCGGGAAGCCUUCGAGGGUGUAGAACAGGUGAUGCAUGGCCGUCGUCAGUUCGUGGCUUGAGCUGUUCCCUUAAGUGGGGAAACGAACGCAACCCUCGUUGCCUGUUACAAGUGUCAGGCGAGACUGCUCCCUCACGGGAGAGGAAGGUGAGGAUGACGCCAGGUCAGCAUGUCCCUAGAUGCCUUGGGCUGCACUCGUGAUACAAUGGGAAGUACAAAGAGCCGCAAUACCGUAAGGUGGAGCAAAUCCUGAUAAAACUUUCCUCAGUUCGGAUUGUGGGCUGCAACUCGCCCACAUGAAGCCGGAAUCGCUAGUAAUCGUGAAUCAGCACGUCACGGUGAAUACGUUCCCGAGCCUUGUACUCACCGCCCGUCAAGUCAGGGGAGUCGGGAGUGCCCGAAGUACCACCUCGCGUGUCCUACGGUAACUCGAUAACAAGGACUAAGUCG